GUCCCUGCCGUAAACGAUGCAUACUUGAUGUAGUCGGACUCAACCCCGACUGUGUCGGAGCAAACGUGUUAAGUAUGCCGCCUGGGGAGUACGCUCGCAAGAGUGAAACUCAAAAGAAUUGACGGGGGCCCGCACAAGCAGUGGAGCAUGUGGUUUAAUUCGAUGCAACGCGAAGAACCUUACCUGGGCUUGAAAUGCAGAGGACAGCUGUGGAAACACAGUCUCCUUAGGGUCUCUGCAUAGGUGCUGCAUGGCUGUCGU
RNAcentral lists this ribosomal RNA (261 nucleotides) under uncultured bacterium. Its description in RNAcentral is "partial 16S ribosomal RNA". It matches the Rfam family "Bacterial small subunit ribosomal RNA", at positions 793 to 1055 of the family's 1533-position model. The record is from RNAcentral.